AUAUUGGUCAAUGGGCGGGAGCCUGAACCAGCCAAGUCGCGUGAGGGAAGACGGUCCUACGGAUUGUAAACCGCUUUCAGCAGGGAAGACCACGACGGUACCUGCAGAAGAAGCUCCGGCUAACUACGUUCCAGCAGCCGCGGUAAUACGUAGGGAGCGAGCGUUAUCCGGAAUUAUUGGGCGUAAAGGGUGCGUAGAUGGCACAAAAAGUCUUGUGUAAAAAUGCUAGGCUCAACCUAGUAGAGCAAAAGAUACUUUUGAGCUAGAGUAUGGCAGAGGCAAGUGGAACUACAUGUGUAGCGGUAAAAUGCGUAAAUAUAUGUAAGAACACCAGUGGCGAAGGCGGCUUGCUGGGCCGAUACUGACAUUGAGGCACGAAAGCGUGGGGAGCAAACAG
RNAcentral lists this ribosomal RNA (397 nucleotides) under uncultured bacterium. RNAcentral describes it as "bacterial SSU rRNA". It matches the Rfam family "Bacterial small subunit ribosomal RNA", at positions 361 to 775 of the family's 1533-position model. The record is from RNAcentral.